Salvelinus sp. IW2-2015 is the source of this 285-nucleotide long non-coding RNA. RefSeq lists it as uncharacterized. The record is from RefSeq and is a predicted model, not a curated record. NCBI's taxonomy places the organism in Eukaryota, Metazoa, Chordata, Actinopteri, Salmoniformes, Salmonidae.
GGGGCUGGUCACCUGAUCAAACCUUUCUACACUCCUCACUUCCGCUCCAGCACCUUCCUUAGGCUUUACACCAAGAACAGGGGCAAAGUGAUCAUGUUGUGGGGAGGGAAGUCCAAAUGGAGGAGGAUCCUGGAGUUCCUUCAGAAGAACCUGUACCAAAGAUAGGACCCCUCUGUCCCCUCAGAGCUGUGAGAUCCUCCUGGACUAACUCCAUUAUAGUUGUAGCUUCUCUAGCUUCAUUAUCUGUCAGGGCCCUAUUCUUGAAAUUAAAGAGAGAUAAUAUUG